RNAcentral lists this non-coding RNA (31 nucleotides) under Rattus norvegicus (Norway rat). Lineage: Eukaryota; Metazoa; Chordata; Mammalia; Rodentia; Muridae. The record is from RNAcentral.
UGCUUCCUUUUCUGAAGGCACUACUGGUGUU